CAUAAACGGUAUUAAUCCGUCCCAAUUAAUUGUGCGGGAUUCAUAAAAAAUUUGUAGAAAAAUAUCAUCUUUCGAAGCGGAAUUUAAAAAAUAUAGGUGGCUAUUUUAAAAGUCAAUAGAUGCUAUAGGUAUGACAAUGUUUAUGUGGAGCGGUGGAGCCAACUAAUGAGUUUUGAAGAACUAUAAAUGACGAAUAUUACAACUUAGGGAAAACCGGAUUAUUUAACUAAAAUCAGUCGUUCAUCCGAUAUUAUUAAAGGUGAUUUCUAAAGUUUUCAUU
Non-coding RNA from Cinara cedri, 280 nucleotides. NCBI's taxonomy places the organism in Eukaryota, Metazoa, Arthropoda, Insecta, Hemiptera, Aphididae. The record is from the annotation of a GenBank genome assembly.